GAUGAACGCUGGCGGCGUGCCUAAUACAUGCAAGUCGAGCGAACGGACGAGAAGCUUGCUUCUCUGAUGCUAGCGGCGGACGGGUGAGUAACACGUGGAUAACCUACCUAUAAGACUGGGAUAACUUCGGGAAACCGGAGCUAAUACCGGAUGAUAUUUUGAACCGCAUGGUUCAAAAGUGAAAGACGGUCUUGCUGUCACUUAUAGAUGGAUCCGCGCUGCAUUAGCUAGUUGGUAAGGUAACGGCUUACCAAGGCAACGAUGCAUAGCCGACCUGAGAGGGUGAUCGGCCACACUGGAACUGAGACACGGUCCAGACUCCUACGGGAGGCAGCAGUAGGGAAUCUUCCGCAAUGGGCGAAAGCCUGACGGAGCAACGCCGCGUGAGUGAUGAAGGUCUUCGGAUCGUAAAACUCUGUUAUUAGGGAAGAACAUAUGUGUAAGUAACUGUGCACGUCUUGACGGUACCUAAUCAGAAAGCCACGGCUAACUACGUG
This 497-nucleotide ribosomal RNA is filed under the name uncultured bacterium. RNAcentral describes it as "partial 16S ribosomal RNA". It matches the Rfam family "Bacterial small subunit ribosomal RNA", at positions 28 to 507 of the family's 1533-position model. The record is from RNAcentral.